Molecule: long non-coding RNA, 1316 nt
Filed under: Dasypus novemcinctus (nine-banded armadillo)
Lineage: Eukaryota; Metazoa; Chordata; Mammalia; Cingulata; Dasypodidae
Description: lncRNA (ENSDNOG00000050210.1)
Source: RNAcentral
AUGUCCCUUUGGAGACGGGAUCGCGCUCCCGGAGCCUUCAGCCUACCGCGGCCCCCGCUGCGGAGCAGGGACCGGCCCGGCGGGCCCGGGGCUGGCACCAGGGUCUCGCCUGCCAAGGCUGGUUUCAAAACUGACGCCGGACCCCGUGCCCACUCCCGGAGCCCACCCAAGGGGAAGGCGAGGGAAAGAAAGCGGAGCGCCGCGCGCUGUUGCCAUGGCCACAGGAGACUUUUGAUGUGAAGCGCGGGGACCCCCCGCCCCUCUCCUUCAGGAUGACGUCACGCGCGUCCGCGCCCGGGCCGGGCGGCCGUGGGUCGGUCUGGGCUUUAAAGCGGCCGUUCUCCCCUGCUGCCCGCAGCCGCAGCGAGAGUCCGCACAGGCCGGACGGCGCUCGGACUCCGGCCCUGCUUCCCGCCUGGCGGCGCAGCCACGCCUCGGGACAGGACAGACCUUCCGAGAGAGGCAAGUACUCAGAGGGGCUUCCUAAGGUACCUUCCUCAGACCCCUAUCCCCUCCCUCGCUCCUUCCCCUUGCCCUGCAGCUCUUGGGGGAGAAGCGCGGAGCCCGAGGGAGGGAUUCCGAGGGAGCUUUUCAUUUCCAGAAAGAAGUGGAGAGCAGCGGUCUUCCUCCCGGCCAUGGCGACGCGUGCCAGGCAGCAAGACCUGUUGCUGCAGAAAAGCGGCCCGGCUGGGUGUUUCAGGCCUCUCCCCGCCCUCCCUGCCCCGGCCGGCGGCAAUCUUCCAUCAGAGAGGGAGGCGCGUCCCGAGGUCUGAGCGCAGAAGUCCUGGGUCUCUGCCUGAAGACACGCAGAGAGCCCAGCGCUGAUGCAAAAACCACGUGUGAAAGGCCGGGUGGCAGCAGGUCAAACACCCCAGUGCAGAGGGCUCUUCCUCCCCGCUCUGUGACCACGGCCCACAAUCCCACUAACCCCCGCUGGGAAUGGAGGGGCGCGGGGAAUGGCGCGCGGGGUGGGGGCGGCGGUGGAGGAGCUCCUUCUGCUGAAAAAGCGCAGAUAGCCCUGGCCUUGUCUUUCCACCUGAAGAACAGAAUGCCUGCCCUUUGGGUCUCGACCCUUGGGUCAGAAUCAGGCUUGCUGAAGAGCCCCGGAGCCCCUCCAUGACGAAUUCGCGCCUCCAGCUUCAGCACCAGAGGCUGGACAGCGCCCCGGGCCGUAGGCGCUCGGGCUAGCUUCUCCCGGCUCCGAACUCCCCGCCCCACGCGGCUCGCACUCUCCACUUCGCAGACCCUAAGCAGAGGAGGUGAGGAAGGGUUCGCCGGGAAGGAGGGGAUCAUCUUCUUCAUUUCUCCAGGGGUUC